UACAGAGACCCCGAGCGUUAUCCGGAUUUAUUGGGCGUAAAGCGUGCGCAUUUGGUUUGUCAAGUUAGUGGUUAAAGCCUAAAGCUCAACUUUGGGAAGGCCACUAAAACUGAUAAACUAGAGGUUGGGAGAGGCAAGCGGAAUUGCUGGUGUAGGGGUAAAAUCCGUUGAUAUCAGCAGGAACACCAAAUGCGAAGGCAGCUUGCUGGAACACACCUGACGCUGAAGCACGAAAGCGUGGGGAGCGAAGAGGAUUAGAUACCCUCGUAGUCCACGCCGUAAACGCUGGGUACUAGACAUUGGGAGUAUCGACCCUUUCAGUGUCGUUAUAUCAAAGCUAACGCGUUAAGUACCCCGCCUGGGGAGUACGGCCGCAAGGCUAAAACUCAAAGGAAUUGACGGGAACCCGCACAAACGGUGGAGCAUGCGGUUUAAUUCGAUGAUAAGCGAGAAACCUCACCAGGACUUGACAUCUCUGGAAUCUCGGGUAACGCCGAGAGUGCCGCAAGGAACCAGAUGACAGGUGCUGCAUGGUUGUCGUCAGCUCGUGUCGUGAGAUGUACGGUUAAGUCCGGAAACGAGCGCAACCCUUGUCCUAUGUUAUWUAUGUCAUAGGAGACUGCCAGCUUUAAGUUGGAGGAAGGAGAGGAUGACGUCAAAUCAGCAUGGCUCUUACGUCCUGGGCAACACGCGUGCUACAACGGCCAAUACAAUGGGCCGCUAAGCCGAAAGGUGGAGCUAAUCCCAUCAAAGUUGGUCUCAGUUCGGAUUGAGGUCUGCAACUCGACCUCAUGAAGUUGAAAUCGCUAGUAACCGCGUAUCAUHCACGGCGCGGUGAAUACGUUCUCGGGUUU
RNAcentral lists this ribosomal RNA (854 nucleotides) under uncultured bacterium. RNAcentral describes it as "bacterial SSU rRNA". It matches the Rfam family "Bacterial small subunit ribosomal RNA", at positions 524 to 1381 of the family's 1533-position model. The record is from RNAcentral.